Molecule: ribosomal RNA, 942 nt
Filed under: uncultured organism
Description: bacterial SSU rRNA
Rfam family: Bacterial small subunit ribosomal RNA
Source: RNAcentral
AUGACUGUCCUAUGGAUUGUAACUGCUUUUCUGCAGGAAGAAACGCUUCUACGUGUAGAGGUUUGAACGGUACUGCAGGAAUAAGCAUCGGUAACUCCGUGCCAGCAGCCGCGGUAAUACGGAGGAUGCAAGCGUUAUCCGGAUUCAUUGGGCUUAAAGGGUGCGUAGGCGGAUUGGUAAGUCAAAGGUGAAAGUCUGUAGCUUAACUAUAGAAGUGCCUUUGAUACUGCUAGUCUUGAGUACAGUUGAGGCGAGUGGAAUGUGUAGUGUAGCGGUGAAAUGCAUAGAUACUACACAGAACACCAAUUGUGAAGACAGCUCGCUAAGCUGCUACUGACGCUCAGGCACGAAAGCGUGGGGAGCGAACAGGAUUAGAUACCCUGGUAGUCCACGCUGUAAACUAUGAUCACUAGCUGUUGGCGAUAAAUUGUCAGUGGCUGAGCGAAAGCGUUAAGUGAUCCACCUGGGGAGUACGAUCGCAAGGUUGAAACUCAAAGGAAUUGACGGGGGCCCGCACAAGCGGUGGAACAUGUGGUUUAAUUCGAUGAUACGCGAGGAACCUUACCUGGGCUUAAAUGUAGAACGACGUCCUGAGAAAUCGGGAUUCCCUUCGGGGCGGACUACAAGGUGCUGCAUGGUUGUCGUCAGCUCGUGCCGUGAGGUAUCGGGUUAAGUCCCAUAACGAGCGCAACCCCUAUUGUUAGUUGCCAGCGGAUAAUGCCGGGGACUCUAACAAAACUGCCCGUGUAAACGGGAGGAAGGUGGGGAUGACGUCAAAUCAGCACGGCCCUUAUGUCCAGGGCUACACACGUGUUACAAUGGCUGGAACAAAGGGCAGCUACCACGCGAGUGGAUGCUAAUCUCUAAUCCGGGUCUCAGUUCGGAUCGGAGUCUGCAAUUCGACUUCGUGAAGAUGGAAUCGCUAGUAAUCGCGCAUCAGCA